Molecule: long non-coding RNA, 307 nt
Organism: Puntigrus tetrazona (Sumatra barb)
Lineage: Eukaryota; Metazoa; Chordata; Actinopteri; Cypriniformes; Cyprinidae
Exons: 3
Source: RefSeq, a predicted model, not a curated record
AAUAAUUCAUGACCAAGGCACCAGGUGUUAGACACCCUGAAGCUGUUAGCUGCAAGUAAGGUGAAGAACCCCUGCCCCGAGCUGACUUCACGUCUUCUCUGAAGGAUGACUGCUCAUUCAGAUCUCACAAAAUGAAUGUUUAAAGAAAGUCACCAGAAAGGAGAGAAUAUGAAGGCAAUAAAAGUGCCGUGCUAGGCCUGGCGGAACUGCAAAUACAUCAAGGGUUCAUUCUCCUCUGUUUGCCAUUAUUCACAUUUGGCAGCCAUGGAAUGUCACACCUGAGCUAUUGGGGCUCCCACUCUCAAGA